GUGGGGAAUAUUGGGCAAUGGGCGCAAGCCUGACCCAGCAACGCCGCGUGAGGGAAGAAGGUUUUCGGAUUGUAAACCUCUGUCGCAAGGGACGAAGAAGUGACGGUACCUUGUGAGGAAGCCCCGGCUAACUACGUGCCAGCAGCCGCGGUACUACGUAGGGGGCGAGCGUUGUCCGGAAUUACUGGGCGUAAAGGGUGCGUAGGCGGUUGCUUAAGUUGGAUGUGAAAUACCCGGGCUGAACUUGGGGGGUGCAUUCAAAACUGGGCAACUAGAGUUCAGGAGAGGGAAGCGGAAUUCCUAGUGGAGCGGUGAAAUGCGUAGAUAUUAGGAGGAACACCAGUGGCGAAGGCGGCUUUCUGGACUGACACUGACGCUGAGGCACGAAAGCGUGGGGAGCAAACAGGAUUAGAAACCCUGGUAGUCC
RNAcentral lists this ribosomal RNA (427 nucleotides) under uncultured bacterium. RNAcentral's name for it is "partial 16S ribosomal RNA". It matches the Rfam family "Bacterial small subunit ribosomal RNA", at positions 354 to 796 of the family's 1533-position model. The record is from RNAcentral.